CCUUCGAUAGCUCAGUUGGUAGAGCGGUGGACUGUAGAAAUCUGGCGAGCAUCAACUGGAGCAGAAAUGCAUCUGAUGAUCACCUGCUGCAAGUCAGUAGAAAUCCAUAGGUCACUGGUUCAAAUCCGGUUCGAAGGA
Molecule: transfer RNA, 138 nt
Filed under: Anopheles stephensi (Asian malaria mosquito)
Lineage: Eukaryota; Metazoa; Arthropoda; Insecta; Diptera; Culicidae
Description: tRNA tRNA-Tyr
Rfam family: tRNA
About the family: Transfer RNA (tRNA) molecules are approximately 80 nucleotides in length. Their secondary structure includes four short double-helical elements and three loops (D, anti-codon, and T loops). Further hydrogen bonds mediate the characteristic L-shaped molecular structure. tRNAs have two regions of fundamental functional importance: the anti-codon, which is responsible for specific mRNA codon recognition, and the 3' end, to which the tRNAs corresponding amino acid is attached (by aminoacyl-tRNA synthetases). tRNAs cope with the degeneracy of the genetic code in two manners: having more than one tRNA (with a specific anti-codon) for a particular amino acid; and 'wobble' base-pairing, i.e. permitting non-standard base-pairing at the 3rd anti-codon position.
Source: Rfam by way of RNAcentral